AAGGAAAUUCUGUAAAGCUCAGGAGGGAUAGCGCCAUAGAUGAUGAUAGGCGCGUUUAACUCAGCUCUUCCUUCCUUUCUCUCUCACCGUUUGUCUCUAAAUCAUCAUUAGCGCUAUCCAUCCUGAGUUUUAUCGGCUUUUCAU
RNAcentral lists this microRNA precursor (144 nucleotides) under Nelumbo nucifera (sacred lotus). RNAcentral describes it as "MIR390 microRNA precursor family". It matches the Rfam family "MIR390 microRNA precursor family". The record is from Rfam by way of RNAcentral. Lineage: Eukaryota; Viridiplantae; Streptophyta; Magnoliopsida; Proteales; Nelumbonaceae.